Molecule: ribosomal RNA, 273 nt
Filed under: uncultured bacterium
Lineage: Bacteria
Description: partial 16S ribosomal RNA
Rfam family: Bacterial small subunit ribosomal RNA
Source: RNAcentral
GACGAAGGAUGCAAGCGUUAUCCGGAUUCAUUGGGUUUAAAGGGAGCGUAGGUGGCCUUAUAAGUCAGUGGUGAAAUCCUGCAGCUUAACUGUAGAAUUGCCAUUGAUACUGUAGGGCUUGAGUACAGAUGCCGUUGGCGGAAUAUGACAUGUAGUGGUGAAAUACAUAGAGAUGUCAUAGAACACCGAUUGCGAAGGCAGCUGACGAAACUGUAACUGACACUGAGGCUCGAAAGUGUGGGGAUCAAACAGGAUUAGAAACCCCCGUAGUCC